Molecule: ribosomal RNA, 293 nt
Filed under: uncultured bacterium
Lineage: Bacteria
Description: partial 16S ribosomal RNA
Source: RNAcentral
GGACUACAGGGGUAUCUAAUCCUGUUCGCUCCCCACGCUUUCGCUCCUCAGCGUCAGUGCCGGCCCAGACCACCGCCUUCGCCACCGGUGUUCCUCCUGAUAUCUGCGCAUUUCACCGCUACACCAGGAAUUCCGUGGUCCCCUACCGGACUCUAGCCAGACCAGUAUCAGGUGGCGACUCCAGGUUGAGCCUGGAGGUUUCACACCUGACUUAGUCAGCCGCCUACGAGCUCUUUACGCCCAAUGAAUCCGGACAACGCUCGCCCCCUACGUAUUACCGCGGCUGCUGGCAC